CAAACUUAACAAAAAAAAGAGAAAUAUGAUUCAAUCAUUCUAAAUCUGUUCAGAUUUGUAGUGCCUUAAAAGGAAAAAUUAUCCAUAAAUGCAUAAAAUAAUUUGUUGUACUAAUUUAUUACAAUGAGAAAUGGUGAAUGGUGGCAUAAAAUUCCAAUUUACUUACAUCACAAAAUUACAAAUUGCCUUUCAAAAUUCUGUAAAUUUAUAUGGUCAUAAUGUUAAUGAAAUUUAUGUUAUCUCAAAACAUCACUGAUUAGUUAUAAUUCAGUGAGAUAUAAGAACAACAUAUGAGAGAAUUACAGACGUCAUUGAGGAAAUCCCACCUCCUCUCACCACCCACCUGAAUCUUGAGAUCUCACUGUUACUGAAGCUGAGAAACACAUUCAAACCAACUGAGUCUUGGGGCCAUUCUGUGGAUGCAGAUUAUGGUCCCUAAGACAUGUAAGAAGGGAUGCUGUCAGUCAUCUCCCUCCAGGGCCCUUGACUGUCAUGUCACCUGUAGGUGCAGGGUGGCCCUGGCCCUGGCAUUGUUGGAAAGGGGAACCUCAUAAGAGAAAACGGAAUUUACCUAAUCUCUGGGAAAAAACAGAGUAGCAACAGCUGGGUUCCAAAUUUUAUGAUGUGUGAGCUCAUUUUCUUAGGUAAUCUUUCCCAGGUGGGUUGUCUGGUCUCAGUGCUUGUCAACAAAACAGAAGUUUUAAAAUAACUCUAAUUUUCAACUUUCUUUUUUCAUUUCCUUGUCACAUUAUUCAGUGUAUCUUUGCUGACUGAGAGAUUCCUGGUGGUCUUCAUACAUAUUCCUCAGUGGUCCCUGGAUUUCAAGGGCACAGGUCGCCUAUAUACCACUUUUUUGGAAAUGAAGAAAAUGCCCCCUGUGCCAGAUCUACAUAGGUGAAGGGCUCUGUCACCCAGAGGUCGCAGCCUUGAGACAGGGCACCUGGCAUAGAAAGCGGAAUGCAAAGGUCCCAGGAUACAAAUGUGGAAAACACGUCUCAGAAACAGUCUUGCUUUCCUGAAGUUCUUGAGAUUCAAUAAGCAUGUUAAAAACAUUCAGAGUUCUGGCUGAUAUUCAUUGGAGACUGGAAAUGCACAGAGGCACCUUGAGAUGUCCCCAGGUCACCCGAUAUCCUCCAAAAUGUCUCUUCCUCUUAUGUCGUGUUAUGUGCCAACUCCUGGUGUCUCAGACCUCCCCACACUGCCUUCUGAUUCAAGUGCUUUGUGGAUGACUCUGCAGGAAAUCAGCAUUGGCAACUCACCUGUGCUGCCAUCCCUUUUACCUACUUUCCUCCAUUCCAAUUUUUAUCCUCAAGCUAAGCUUUCAGAGUUGACACUUUAGUUAAAUGUCAAUUUCCCAAAUUGAAAGUCUGCACAAAUAUUUAAAACCAAAAGACAAUAAAUACAUUAAAGAUGGU
Lemur catta (Ring-tailed lemur) is the source of this 1415-nucleotide long non-coding RNA. RefSeq lists it as uncharacterized. Lineage: Eukaryota; Metazoa; Chordata; Mammalia; Primates; Lemuridae. The transcript is spliced from 2 exons. The record is from RefSeq and is a predicted model, not a curated record.